Molecule: ribosomal RNA, 448 nt
Filed under: uncultured bacterium
Lineage: Bacteria
Description: partial 16S ribosomal RNA
Rfam family: Bacterial small subunit ribosomal RNA
Source: RNAcentral
GUAGGGAAUCUUCGGCAAUGGACGAAAGUCUGACCGAGCAACGCCGCGUGAGUGAAGAAGGUUUUCGGAUCGUAAAACUCUGUUGGUAGAGAAGAACGUUGGUGAGAGUGGAAAGCUCAUCAAGUGACGGUAACUACCCAGAAAGGGACGGCUAACUACGUGCCAGCAGCCGCGGUAAUACGUAGGUCCCGAGCGUUGUCCGGAUUUAUUGGGCGUAAAGCGAGCGCAGGUGGUUUAUUAAGUCUGGUGUAAAAGGCAGUGGCUGAACCAUUGUAUGCAUUGGAAACUGGUAGACUUGAGUGCAGGAGAGGAGAGUGGAAUUCCAUGUGUAGCGGUGAAAUGCGUAGAUAUAUGGAGGAACACCGGUGGCGAAAGCGGCUCUCUGGCCUGUAACUGACACUGAGGCUCGAAAGCGUGGGGAGCAAACGGGAUUAGAUACCCGUGUACC